AAAUUCAAAACUGAUUAUAGCAGUUCGGCUAUACUAUUUUUCAAUAUAAAAAAGGACCCCAACCAUUAUGCCCCAUGUGUCAACACAUGACUUUGGAAAAAAAAUUUCAAAACUAAGUAUAGCCGCGCGGCUAUACUAUUUUUAAAAUAUAAAACAAGGUCCCCCAACAAAUAGGAGCCACGUGUCAACAAAUGUAUUUUUUUUAAAAAUUUCGAAACUGAGCUAUACUGUUUUUAAAUAGAAAAAAAGGUCCCCCAAG
RNAcentral lists this long non-coding RNA (259 nucleotides) under Prunus persica (peach). Its description in RNAcentral is "long non-coding RNA (PPER_LNC001575)". Lineage: Eukaryota; Viridiplantae; Streptophyta; Magnoliopsida; Rosales; Rosaceae. The record is from RNAcentral.